Zalophus californianus (California sea lion) is the source of this 2557-nucleotide long non-coding RNA. NCBI's taxonomy places the organism in Eukaryota, Metazoa, Chordata, Mammalia, Carnivora, Otariidae. The record is from Ensembl.
CUGCUCUUAAAAAAAAACAAAAAACAACAAACAAAAAACCCUUAACUCCCAAAGUUAUCUUCUUUCUCUUAAGUUAUAGCGACCAUCGUUUACAAGAACAGAAUGCAGUUAUAAGGAAGUUCUAUCUAGAGAAGAGCACCCAUAAAAUCUCAUGGAUGCAAGCAGCGGGCAUUUCCUGCUUGGGAAAAGUGCCGUGUCCAAGACCCAGUCAGGAACAUAUAUUCAAUUACCAUUAACGACCAGAGCAUCCAUGGACUCAGAUGCUGCCGCCACAUACAACUCAAGUGCUGGAAUAUUUUUCUACAGUCUCCGUUCUCCCCAUUCUCUUGUAAACCAGUGUUCAACUAGUUUUAUAACUGAAAAGCUGCACAUUUUUCAUAGUACAAACCAUAGUUUUUACCUGUAGUUUGGACCUGUUAAAAUGUAGCUGCGUUACCAGCCCUUUUAAAAGACAUCUGUUAAAGGAAAAUUCGGGUGUUAGAUUUUUUGGGACCGUUUCUGUAACUUCUGCCCUUAACAAUAUAGAAAAUACUGUUUAUGCCGUUACAUUUUAAUUCCAGGUUUAAAACCUGUUGAAAGCUGUAGCUUGAAAUCAGCUUUGUUUGUGAUGGCAUUUAAAAAAUAGCAUGUUCUUUUUAAACUGAAUUUUAUAUCUAAUCAAUGUCUUCAGUCUUGAAGAAGAAUUUGCAUUGUUGUGUUUGUAUAUAGAGUAUUGCAGUGCAUGAAUUAGCUUUAUGCAUUUUAUUAAAUGCUGUUUCAAUGUGGCAUUAUCGUUGUGGCUUAAUACUACUACCUAAAUGAGGUUUAUACUAUUAAAAAAAUGAAUUAAAGACUAAAUGUGCAUCUUCUCAUUUCUUCUAAUAGUGAUAGCAGUAAUGCCUGAUCCCCAGGGGCGCCGUGCGUGCUGUCUUACCCCAAGCAGGUGGUGAGGAAGCAGCUUGUGGUCGGAGCCCUACUGCUUUCACCUCCCCUUAGUCUCAGCUAGAAUCCACGUGCUGGCCCACUGGACUUGUAAACACCUUUAGCGGGAAAGGUGUGGCCUUUUCCAUUGGGGCCGGUCCUCGGUGUGAAGGUCAAAAAGCCAGGCAGCUGGUUCCGGAGCAGAGCACCUGUGGGCUGCCAGACCACACAGGCUGUCGGCACAGAUGCGCCAGAGCCAGGCUGCAAACCAGCACAUGCUUCCCAUAAGGGUAAUGACUAUCCAGAAUAAAAGCGUGUUCUUCUAGUUGUAGAAGCUGGAAAGAACUUGCUCAGUAUGUCACGUGACUUCUCAUUUUACUGGUGAGGAUUCUGAGGUCCAAAGUCAGAUUCCUGGCAGAACCCCCCCACCCCCCACCAACCAGACAGCUUUAAAGAUUUUUUUUUUUAUUCAUUUGAGACACAGAGAGAGACAGAGAGCGAGCGAGAGAGCAUGAGCAAGGAGAGAGGCAGAGGGAAAAGCAGGCUUCCUGCUGAGCCAGGAGCCCAAUGUGGGGCUCAAUCCCAGGACCCUGGGAUCAUGACCUGAGCCAAAGGCAGAUGCUUAACCAUCUGAGCCACCCAGGUGCCCCAACCAGCUUUAAAUGGCCCUGCCAGGUCGUACUCAAAAUGAAAUCAGUCACUUCAGAAGAACAAGGUCUAAAACCAUGUGAACAUCGUUGGUGCGAAGAAAAAAACAUAACUCCUCGUAGCGAUUUUUUCCUCCCGUUUCCGUAAAUUUUAAACCCACCUUUUAUCAUUACUAAAUCUCGGCAGAAAUAGAAGACAAAGGUUUAAAGAGAGAACCGUGCCCCCUAGUGGUGCUUAUUUCAAGUCUCUGUAAAGAGAGGGGCGGCACUGUCCCAUCAGGCACUAGAUGCUUCUCUCCAAGGAGGGCUCGCUAUCCUGUUUCCAGGUCAGCAACCUUUCUGGGGCCCCCCGUUGGGCUGUGGAUGGAAGGGGUACUUCUUCCCUAACGCUGGCGCACUUGCUGUGCACACAGACCAAAGGGAACAGGCUCUGAAAAGCCCCAGCGGCUGGCGGGAAAACCACAGCUGUGGUCACCUGGGAGCGGUUAUUAGAAACAAGACAGAAGGAUUAGAAUGGAGGACAGAUUUCUCUACUCAUCCUCUAAAAUGGUAAAGGGGGGCGGGGUGCCCUGUGGUGCGGACCUGCAAUUAGACGCACAGCCCUGGUGAGUCUGCAGCCAUCCCGCACACGCACGCAUGCACGUGCCCACCAGCCAUGACCCCUGACCACCACUCAGGUACAAAAUCACAGUAAACCACAACCUGAGCAUCAAAUGUAAAAGAAGCCAAAUCCUUCCAAUGUAAUGGGCUAUAAAACAUUCUGGUUCCACAACCUUUCCCAUAGCAGUCUACCUCCUGACCUCCCCCUGCUCCUUUCAGCCCCGUUGGCCGGCUGCUUCCCACAGGGCAGAGUCUCAUCCUUCACUCUGACCAGCUAAACCGUAAGGUAGCCAACCCUUGAAGGCUCUGGUGUUGCCUGAGGGCUGAAACCAGCAAGUGACCGCAGGAUCCAUGCCCUGUGAGGAAAGAACUAGGCGGACCCUCCGUAAGCCCUCACCUCCUCUUCCAAA